UUUAUGCUCAGCACCGUACGCACAGCAAUAUCCUUUUCACACGCCUCCCUUAGCUUAGCUGCUCUCCGCUCAUACGGUUGUUUAUCUUUGACAGAUUGCUCAGACCACAUCUCACCCAGUUUCCUCGCAGUAUCUCCGAUAGACAGGCCUGGGCGUUCACUUUUGAUCUCUGGGAGAUGUUCAGAGCAAAACAGGAAGAAAGCAGUCGGUGGUCCUUUUCGAGCAUUAGGAUCUUCUUCCUUUCCUUUCUUAUCGCCUUUCUCUCUGUCAUAACGAGCCUAGUUGCUCUUGGCCAGAUCUUCAAACUUUGACUCUUCCUUUGCAGAUAUGGUCUUCCAUCUCUCGGGGCUUUUCUUUCAGAACUCACGGAAGUUGACUGGGGAGCUGGCGAGCCUCUUGUGCUCCUUCCGGCAGGUCUGCGGGAAGAAGGCUUUCGAGGACUUUGCGCCUUGUGGCUUGGAGCCUCUCUUGCCCAUUCUGACUGCAGCUGGCACGGGCUUUCCCCUCAGAGCCCAACAGAGAUACUUCCUUCCGGAAGCUCCAGUGUGAACGCUCCACUUCAACCUUUGAUGUUUCUUACCUUCUGUGCUUCUGUUGUUUGAAGAAAGUCUUCGGCCUUCAUGGAGACAGAUACAAGAAGGAAGGAAGGACCUAGAAAUUUGCCCUGUACUUCUUAGACCUCCUUUGACUUUUGGAACAGAAAAAAAAAAAAAAAAAACCUUGACAGUGGGUAAAAUCUCUUAAGCGACGUGAGUAGGAUUUAAAAUAAAUUUAUUUCUAGGUAUUUUGUAAA
RNAcentral lists this small RNA (793 nucleotides) under Rattus norvegicus (Norway rat). Its description in RNAcentral is "uncharacterized LOC108352141". The record is from RNAcentral. Lineage: Eukaryota; Metazoa; Chordata; Mammalia; Rodentia; Muridae.